This 27-nucleotide non-coding RNA is filed under the name uncultured Thalassiosira. The record is from RNAcentral. Lineage: Eukaryota; Bacillariophyta; Thalassiosirophyceae; Thalassiosirales; Thalassiosiraceae.
CAGGGCACGAAGGUAGCAGCCGUCAGU